UUAGUGGCGGACGGGUGAGUAACGCGUGAAUAACCUGCCCUGUACCGGGGGACGAACAGUUGGAAACGGCUGCUAAUACCGCAUAAGCGCACGGUUCCGCAUGGAACAGUGUGAAAAACUCCGGUGGUACAGGAUGGAUUCGCGUCUGAUUAGCCAGUUGGUGGGGUAACGGCCUACCAAAGCAACGAUCAGUAGCCGGCCUGAGAGGGUGAACGGCCACAUUGGGACUGAGACACGGCCCAAACUCCUACGGGAGGCAGCAUG
Molecule: ribosomal RNA, 264 nt
Filed under: uncultured bacterium
Lineage: Bacteria
Description: partial 16S ribosomal RNA
Rfam family: Bacterial small subunit ribosomal RNA
Source: RNAcentral